GCCCCUGUAGUUCAAUGGAUAGAACGAUUCCGUCCUAAGGAGGAGAUCCUGGUUCGAUUCCGGGUAGGGGCACUA
This 75-nucleotide transfer RNA is filed under the name Candidatus Kaiserbacteria bacterium CG_4_9_14_0_2_um_filter_41_32. RNAcentral's name for it is "tRNA-Arg". It matches the Rfam family "tRNA". Rfam says of the family: Transfer RNA (tRNA) molecules are approximately 80 nucleotides in length. Their secondary structure includes four short double-helical elements and three loops (D, anti-codon, and T loops). Further hydrogen bonds mediate the characteristic L-shaped molecular structure. tRNAs have two regions of fundamental functional importance: the anti-codon, which is responsible for specific mRNA codon recognition, and the 3' end, to which the tRNAs corresponding amino acid is attached (by aminoacyl-tRNA synthetases). tRNAs cope with the degeneracy of the genetic code in two manners: having more than one tRNA (with a specific anti-codon) for a particular amino acid; and 'wobble' base-pairing, i.e. permitting non-standard base-pairing at the 3rd anti-codon position. Lineage: Bacteria; Candidatus Kaiseribacteriota. The record is from RNAcentral.